GCUCGCGUGAGAGGCGGAGCUCCUACAACGACAAAACUGUUGGAUUUCCGACGUGCGCGGGAUGAUGGAGCCUGUGCACGCCACGCCCCAUCGCGCGUUUGUUUUUAUCCGACGGAUCUUGUUCGAUGCGCACGGCGUAUCGGAGCUUGUGCACAUCAUGCGCCGCCGCGCGUUUGUGCUUAUCGGACGGAGCUCGCACGGCGCGUCGGAGCUUGUGCACAUCAUGCGCCGCCGCGCGUUUGUGCUUAUCGGACGGAGCUCGCGGACGGAGCUCGCGGACGGAGCUCGCACGGCGUAUCGGAGCUUGUGCACAUCAUGCGCCGCAGCGCGUUUGUGCUUAUCGGACGGAGCUCGCACGGCGUGUUGGAGCUUGUGCACAUCAUGCGCCGCCGCGCGUUUGUGCUUAUCGGACGGAGCUCGCGGACGGAGCUCGCACGGCGUAUCGGAGCUUGUGCACAUCAUGCGCCGCCGCGCGUUUGUGCUUAUCGGACGGAGCUCGCACGGCGUGUCGGAGC
RNAcentral lists this long non-coding RNA (515 nucleotides) under Helianthus annuus (common sunflower). RNAcentral describes it as "hypothetical non coding rna". Lineage: Eukaryota; Viridiplantae; Streptophyta; Magnoliopsida; Asterales; Asteraceae. The record is from RNAcentral.